CAGUAGCCGCGGUAAUACGUAGGGUGCAAGCGUUAAUCGGAAUUACUGGGCGUAAAGCGUGCGCAGGCGGUUUGUUAAGACAGAUGUGAAAUCCCCGGGCUCAACCUGGGAACUGCAUUUGUGACUGGCAAGCUAGAGUGUGGCAGAGGGGGGUGGAAUUCCGCGUGUAGCAGUGAAAUGCGUAGAUAUGCGGAGGAACACCGAUGGCGAAGGCAGCCCCCUGGGCCAACACUGACGCUCAUGCACGAAAGCGUGGGGAGCAAACAGGAUUAGAUACCCCAGUAGUCCCUGUCUCUUAUAC
RNAcentral lists this ribosomal RNA (301 nucleotides) under uncultured bacterium. Its description in RNAcentral is "partial 16S ribosomal RNA". It matches the Rfam family "Bacterial small subunit ribosomal RNA", at positions 509 to 807 of the family's 1533-position model. The record is from RNAcentral.